UGAGGAAUAUUGGUCAAUGGGCGAGAGCCUGAACCAGCCAAGUAGCGUGCAGGAUGACGGCCCUAUGGGUUGUAAACUGCUUUUAUAAGGGAAUAAAGUGAGAGUCGUGACUCUUUUUGCAUGUACCUUAUGAAUAAGGACCGGCUAAUUCCGUGCCAGCAGCCGCGGUAAUACGGAAGGUCCGGGCGUUAUCCGGAUUUAUUGGGUUUAAAGGGAGCGUAGGCCGGAGAUUAAGCGUGUUGUGAAAUGUAGACGCUCAACGUCUGCACUGCAGCGCGAACUGGUUUCCUUGAGUACGCACAAAGUGGGCGGAAUUCGUGGUGUAGCGGUGAAAUGCUUAGAUAUCACGAAGAACUCCGAUUGCGAAGGCAGCUCACUGGAGCGCAACUGACGCUGAAGCUCGAAAGUGCGGGUAUCGAACAGGAUUAGAUACCCUGGUAGUCCGCACGGUAAACGAUGGAUGCCCGCUGUUGGUCUGAAUAGGUCAGCGGCCAAGCGAAAGCAUUAAGCAUCCCACCUGGGGAGUACGCCGGCAACGGUGAAACUCAAAGGAAUUGACGGGGGCCCGCACAAGCGGAGGAACAUGUGGUUUAAUUCGAUGAUACGCGAGGAACCUUACCCGGGCUUGAAUUGCAGAGGAAGGAUUUGGAGACAAUGACGCCCUUCGGGGCCUCUGUGAAGGUGCUGCAUGGUUGUCGUCAGCUCGUGCCGUGAGGUGUCGGCUUAAGUGCCAUAACGAGCGCAACCCCUCUCCUUAGUUGCCAUCAGGUCAUGCUGGGCACUCUGGGGACACUGCCACCGUAAGGUGUGAGGAAGGUGGGGAUGACGUCAAAUCAGCACGGCCCUUACGUCCGGGGCUACACACGUGUUACAAUGGCAGGUACAGAGAGACGGUCCCUUGCAAAAGGGAUCAAAUCCUCAAAGCCUGUCUCAGUUCGGACUGGGGUCUGCAACCCGACCCCACGAAGCUGGAUUCGCUAGUAAUCGCGCAUCAGCCAUGGCGCGGUGAAUACGUUCCC
RNAcentral lists this ribosomal RNA (1019 nucleotides) under uncultured bacterium. RNAcentral describes it as "bacterial SSU rRNA". It matches the Rfam family "Bacterial small subunit ribosomal RNA", at positions 355 to 1375 of the family's 1533-position model. The record is from RNAcentral.